This 451-nucleotide ribosomal RNA is filed under the name uncultured Planctomycetota bacterium. Its description in RNAcentral is "bacterial SSU rRNA". It matches the Rfam family "Bacterial small subunit ribosomal RNA", at positions 393 to 834 of the family's 1533-position model. Lineage: Bacteria; Pseudomonadati; Planctomycetota. The record is from RNAcentral.
GACGCCGCGUGCGGGAAGAAGGCCUUCGGGUUGUAAACCGCUGUCGGGAGUUAAGAAAUGUAAGGAUGUUAAUAGCAUCUUUGCUUGACUAAGGCUCCGGAGGAAGCCACGGCUAACUCUGUGCCAGCAGCCGCGGUAAUACAGAGGCGGCAAGCGUUGUUCGGAAUUAUUGGGCGUAAAGAGCACGUAGGCGGCUAUGUAAGUCGGUUGUGAAAGCCUUCCGCUCAACGGGAGAACAGCAUCCGAUACUGCAUGGCUUGAGUGCGGGAGGGGAGAGUGGAACUUCUGGUGGAGCGGUGAAAUGCGUAGAUAUCAGAAGGAACGCCGGCGGCGAAAGCGGCUCUCUGGCCCAUAACUGACGCUGAGUGUGCGAAAGCUAGGGGAGCAAACGGGAUUAGAUACCCCGGUAGUCCUAGCCGUAAACGAUGGGCACUAAGUAGAGGGGUUUUAA